This 76-nucleotide transfer RNA is filed under the name Marinitoga piezophila KA3. RNAcentral's name for it is "tRNA-Ala (TGC) (tRNA-Ala-TGC-1-1, tRNA-Ala-TGC-1-2)". It matches the Rfam family "tRNA". Rfam says of the family: Transfer RNA (tRNA) molecules are approximately 80 nucleotides in length. Their secondary structure includes four short double-helical elements and three loops (D, anti-codon, and T loops). RNAcentral also lists the same sequence under 6 other names. The record is from RNAcentral. Lineage: Bacteria; Thermotogati; Thermotogota; Thermotogae; Petrotogales; Petrotogaceae.
GGGGUAGUAGCUCAACUGGGAGAGCGUCUGCCUUGCACGCAGAAGGUUAGGGGUUCAAGUCCCCUCUACUCCACCA